GUAUGAUACAAAAUAAAUGCCCGGACGAGAUGCGCCGUACCCGGUUAAGACAAGACGACGCCUU
Molecule: non-coding RNA, 64 nt
Filed under: Legionella shakespearei
Lineage: Bacteria; Pseudomonadati; Pseudomonadota; Gammaproteobacteria; Legionellales; Legionellaceae
Also listed under: 1 other name
Source: RNAcentral